This 253-nucleotide ribosomal RNA is filed under the name uncultured bacterium. RNAcentral describes it as "partial 16S ribosomal RNA". It matches the Rfam family "Bacterial small subunit ribosomal RNA", at positions 524 to 776 of the family's 1533-position model. The record is from RNAcentral.
UACAGAGGGUGCUAGCGUUGUUCGGAAUCAUUGGGCGUAAAGGGCGUGUAGGCGGUUUGUUAAGUCAUGUGUGAAAUCCCACGGCUCAACCGUGGAACGGCUGGGCAUACUGCGGGUCUUGAGACACCUAGGGGCGAGCGGAACAGGCGGUGGAGCGGUGAAAUGCGUAGAUAUCGCCUGGAACGCCGACGGUGAAAACAGCUCGCUGGGGGUGUUCUGACGCUGAGACACGAAAGCCAGGGGAGCGAACGGG